This is a long non-coding RNA of Ziziphus jujuba (common jujube), 831 nucleotides long. RefSeq lists it as uncharacterized. NCBI's taxonomy places the organism in Eukaryota, Viridiplantae, Streptophyta, Magnoliopsida, Rosales, Rhamnaceae. The record is from RefSeq and is a predicted model, not a curated record. The transcript has 3 exons.
AAUAAAAAAAAAUCCAAUCUGCAUACAGAAACGUACCACACCUACAUAUGUAUGGUUUAGUGUCCAGAUCUACUGCUUUUCUUAAACUCUUAUGUGAAUGAAUAGAUGGGAUGAGUUUAGCCUGAGUCUGCUGAAGCCGGACUACUGGCAAACCAGAAAUUUUGUCCUUUAUCUGCUUUUCUAAUAUUUUUUCUCUGGGAAUUGGAUCAUUGUGUUCUUCAGGGAGGAAAAAGGGAGAAGAAAUGCUGGUGUGCUUGGAAAACUAAAUUAAGCCCUGGGGACUUUUAGCCAAAAAGAAGAAAAAAAAGGGUAUGCUCACAUCACGUUGGAAAGCUAGAAGUCAAUAUGGAAAACGAGUAAUGAUCAAUGGUACGUGGAAGCGUUUGUUCAAAAUUUACACGUUUUGUCACAAGAUUUUGAGUUACUUAUGAGUAGCUAUAUCAUUUCUCACCACCAAAAGGCAUCUGGAAAGAUGGGAGUAUUAAUAAUUAGAUGGAUGUAGUAAAAUGGAUUGGACAUGUCAAUUAGUAGUCAGGCAUGUACUAGCAAAUGGUUUUCAUUUGAAUAACAUUAAUUGCCACAAUUUGCUCAUGGCUGUCUCAAGUCUCAACCACUGCCCAACACAAACUCAUACUCUGAUUGGAGCAAGACAGUACUGAACUCCAAAUGGCAGCAACAUAUUGAUCAAGCUUGACCCCUCAACAGCUUACAUCCAUUGCAGGACUCAUGAAUGCGCAAUCAAUUAGUGUGUAUAUAUAUAUAUAUAUAUAUGGGUUUUCAGCAAAAAAAUAUAUAUAUAGGGGUUUUGGUUAGGAGAGAGAACAGGCACCG